RNAcentral lists this transfer RNA (66 nucleotides) under Dopasia gracilis (Burmese glass lizard). RNAcentral describes it as "tRNA-Cys". The record is from RNAcentral. Lineage: Eukaryota; Metazoa; Chordata; Lepidosauria; Squamata; Anguidae.
AGUCCUGAGGUGUUUACACGCCGGGUUGCAAACUCGGAAUUGAGAUUUAUAGAAUCCCCCGGACUU